CCUACGGGCGGCAGCAGUGAGGAAUAUUGGUCAAUGGACGAGAGUCUGAACCAGCCAAGUAGCGUGAAGGAUGACUGCCCUAUGGGUUGUAAACUUCUUUUAUAUGGGAAUAAAAUGUUCCACGUGUGGGAUUUUGUAUGUACCAUAUGAAUAAGGAUCGGCUAACUCCGUGCCAGCAGCCGCGGUAAUACGGAGGAUCCGAGCGUUAUCCGGAUUUAUUGGGUUUAAAGGGAGAGUAGGUGGAUUGUUAAGUCAGUUGUGAAAGUUUGCGGCUCAACCGUAAAAUUGCAGUUGAAACUGGCAGUCUUGAGUACAGUAGAGGUGGGCGGAAUUCGUGGUGUAGCGGUGAAAUGCUUAGAUAUCACGAAGAACUCCGAUUGCGAAGGCAGUUCACUGGACUGCAACUGACACUGAGGCUCGAAAGUGUGGGUAUCAAACAGGAUUAGAUACCCGGGUAGUC
Molecule: ribosomal RNA, 460 nt
Filed under: uncultured bacterium
Lineage: Bacteria
Description: partial 16S ribosomal RNA
Rfam family: Bacterial small subunit ribosomal RNA
Source: RNAcentral